CCUACGGGAGGCUGCAGUGGGGAAUAUUGGACAAUGGGGGGAACCCUGAUCCAGCCAUGCCGCGUGUGUGAAGAAGGCCCUCGGGUUGUAAAGCACUUUCAGUGAGGAAGAACGCCUGGUGGUUAAUACCCAUCAGGAAAGACAUCACUCACAGAAGAAGCACCGGCUAACUCCGUGCCAGCAGCCGCGGUAAUACGGAGGGUGCGAGCGUUAAUCGGAAUUACUGGGCGUAAAGCGCGCGUAGGUGGCUUGAUAAGCCGGUUGUGAAAGCCCCGGGCUCAACCUGGGAACGGCAUCCGGAACUGUCAAGCUAGAGUGCAGGAGAGGAAGGUAGAAUUCCCGGUGUAGCGGUGAAAUGCGUAGAGAUCUGGAGGAAUACCAGUGGCGAAGGCGGCCUUCUGGACUGACACUGACACUGAGGUGCGAAAGCGUGGGUAGCAAACAGGAUUAGAUACCCCAGUAGUC
Molecule: ribosomal RNA, 465 nt
Filed under: Vreelandella stevensii
Lineage: Bacteria; Pseudomonadati; Pseudomonadota; Gammaproteobacteria; Oceanospirillales; Halomonadaceae
Description: partial 16S ribosomal RNA
Rfam family: Bacterial small subunit ribosomal RNA
Source: RNAcentral